Sus scrofa (pig) is the source of this 2187-nucleotide non-coding RNA. Lineage: Eukaryota; Metazoa; Chordata; Mammalia; Artiodactyla; Suidae. The record is from RefSeq and is a predicted model, not a curated record.
UUUGCCAGUUAGUCCUACUGUGUGAAAUGUCAAACUUGUUUUGCCAGUUAGUCCUACUGUGUGAAAUGUCUCUUUGCGUUCAUUAAAAAUAAAGAACAAAUUCAUAUUGGUUGUUUUCUAACAUUAUAAAACUUAAGUUGUGUUGGAUACUUAAUCGAAUAUUUAUAAAUCUGAAUUAAAAAUUUUACAGUGUUGUCCAGAAGAGCCAGUUGAAUUUUUUAAAUUGCCUCUUGACCAAAAACAUAUUCCUCAUUAACUUGAAAUGUGGUCACACAUGAGCUCCUUUCAAGUCAAAUAUAAUCUUAGCUGACACCAGAGGGAGCCUGGUAGGCAUUCCAGUGAAAGUAUAUCCAGUUUUUAAUGCAUUUCUGGAAUGACGCUGGAGAAAAUAUACAGUGAAAUUACGAAUACUGCACUUAACAGUCCUAGGAAGAAAAAUCAGUCUUAAAUUAUACAUUCAGACUUCAAUCCUCCAUGAACCAGGAAAGAUAUAAAAUAAGAAUGGUGAUAAAAAGAGCAAUUGUAGAACACCCACAAAUACCUUUACUGCUCUUGUCUUAAUUGUUAUUCCUGGCUCCUUUGUGCAUAGGGAUCAGAGAGACCGGCUUUACAACCUGGCUCUGCUGCUUCUGAGUUAAGUGUUCUUAAUUCCUCUGCCUCUCAGUCUCUUCUCCUGCAUGUUAUAAUACAUACCUCACAGGGCUAUUGUGAAGGUCAAAUUGUAGAUCAUAUCAACAAAGCAUCUGGCACAUAGCACACUUCAAAUAUCUUAGUUCUUUUCUUCGUCUAGUGCGGUGGUUCUCAACCAAGGAACAUUUGGCAACAUCCGGAGACAUUUUUGACCAGUGGAGCCUGUGAGAAGAAGGCUUUAAGUCAGAAGUCCUGGGUUUGAGUUCUGGCUCCACCCCUUUCUACCUGGGUGACCCAGGGAAAGUCUCUUCACAUCUCAAGCCUCUUUUCCCAUUUGCAGCAUGGGAGAAAGGAUCUGUUAUGAAGUUUAUGUGGACUUUAACCAUUUCGUGCUUUACAAGUGUCACCUAUAAUCCUCUCCUUUGCUCGUCAGGUCCUGCCUCACAAAGUCCUAUAGCCAAGCUCAGAGUUUACACAAAAUUACUAUUGUGUGGCCUUAAGUUGCCAACAAGAGGCAGGUGGAUUCACACUUAACUGAGCAUCUACUAUGAGAGAAUUCUGUAUUCAACGUUCAAGCCCCUUGUUUAAGAUGCAAAAAUGGAAAAGCAUGAAAACGUGGCCAAGGGGCAGAUCCAAGGAACUGAUGACUUUUUGCAUUGGGUGAAUGGAGGAGGCCACCGGUGACUUAAGGAGAUGCCUGGGAAGGGGAAGUUGGUUGAGGUGAGGAAAAGUUGAAGAAAGGAGAUCCUAGUGGAACAGCCACUUUCCUCCAGGAGAGGGGAUUCCAGGGCUGAGGACAGAGGUUGUGUCUCUACAUGAUACCCUCAUUCUGCAAAACAGUGUCUUGGGGAAUCUAGUGCACAAAAUAAAAUUCUCAGUAGAUGGGGGAGAGAAAGAGACUGUACGUACACCAGGGUAUAAGACCAGGGAGGAGGACUUUGUGUCUUUGAUCCUGCUGCCCAGAGGAAUGCUGGUAUGUUGUAUUAAUUAAAUGCAUAAAUGUUUGCUAAAUAAAGAAAUGUCACACAUGCAAUGAAACCUCCAGGAGUACAAAAGAACAGAGAGUAUCAUGUAUUGUCAGUCGCAUAGAAGCCAUUGCAGCAAAGUGGCUGGUGUCAAGGGGAGAAUCUUAGAAUCUAGCAAAGUGCAGUAUGCUAAAGAGCUAGUAUUCAUUCUGCUGAUUUUAAGUGAUGAUGUCACAUUAGGAGUGAAGGAUCUCACUUUCACCACCAUAAGGUUUUCCUGGUAAUAGGUGAGCAUAGCAUGGCAGGCAAGCCACUAGUUUUUGUGCCUCCUUUUAUGGUUGGUAUGAAAACAAAGAGAAAAUAUUCCAUUUAUGUUGAUCCAGGGUGCAAAAACUGGAGUUUGUGAUUUCAUGCUCUGACAAAUGAAUGAUCAUGGUUGCAAAAAGAAGAAUGUGAUGUAUAAGCUAUAAUUCUCUGGAAAUGAUUUCUCUGUGAAAAUGAUUACCUCAACUCUGUCACAAUAUCAUCUUCAUUUUUCACAUGAAGAAAAUAAGUUGAGGGAGUUCCCAUCAUGGCUCAGUGGUUAACGAAC